GGUCCGCUGGCUCAAUGGCAGAGCGUCUGACUACGAUUCAGGAGGUUCCAGGUUCGACCCCUGGGUGGAUCG
RNAcentral lists this transfer RNA (72 nucleotides) under Thermothelomyces thermophilus ATCC 42464. RNAcentral's name for it is "tRNA-Arg (ACG) (tRNA-Arg-ACG-2-1)". It matches the Rfam family "tRNA". From Rfam's summary of the family: Transfer RNA (tRNA) molecules are approximately 80 nucleotides in length. The record is from Rfam by way of RNAcentral. Lineage: Eukaryota; Fungi; Ascomycota; Sordariomycetes; Sordariales; Chaetomiaceae.